RNAcentral lists this ribosomal RNA (293 nucleotides) under uncultured bacterium. RNAcentral's name for it is "partial 16S ribosomal RNA". It matches the Rfam family "Bacterial small subunit ribosomal RNA", at positions 29 to 305 of the family's 1533-position model. The record is from RNAcentral.
AACGAACGCUGGCGGCGUGCCUAAUACAUGCAAGUCGAACGAGAAAGUGGCUUCGGCCAUGAGUAAAGUGGCAAACGGGUGAGUAAUACAUAGGCAACCUACCCUCGAGAUGGGGAUAACCUUCCGAAAGGAGGGCUAAUACCGAAUGAGACCACAGCUACCUCGGUAGCAGCGGUCAAAGAUGGCCUCUACUUGUAAGCUAUCGCUUGAGGAUGGACUUAUGCACCAUCAGCUAGUUGGUGAGGUAAUGGCUCACCAAGGCUUUGACGGUUAGCUGAUCUGAGAGGUUGAUC